ACGAAGGGGGCUAGCGUUGCUCGGAAUCACUGGGCGUAAAGGGCGCGUAGGCGGACUUUUAAGUCGGGGGUGAAAGCCCAGGGCUCAACCCUGGAAUUGCCUUCGAUACUGGGAGUCUUGAGUUCGGAAGAGGUUGGUGGAACUGCGAGUGUAGAGGUGAAAUUCGUAGAUAUUCGCAAGAACACCGGUGGCGAAGGCGGCCAACUGGUCCGAUACUGACGCUGAGGCGCGAAAGCGUGGGGAGCAAACAGG
RNAcentral lists this ribosomal RNA (252 nucleotides) under uncultured bacterium. Its description in RNAcentral is "partial 16S ribosomal RNA". It matches the Rfam family "Bacterial small subunit ribosomal RNA", at positions 525 to 776 of the family's 1533-position model. The record is from RNAcentral.